ACGGAGGGUGCAAGCGUUAUUCGGAAUUACUGGGCGUAAAGCGCGCGUAGGCGGUCUUGCAAGUCAGAUGUGAAAGCCUCGGGCUUAACUGGGGAACUGCCUUUGAUACUGCUGGACUUGAGUAUGGGAGAGGAAGGUGGAAUUCCCGGUGUAGAGGUGAAAUGCGUAGAGAUCGGGAGGAAUACCAGUGGCGAAGGCGACCAUCUGGACUGUAACUGACGCUGAGACGCGAAAGCGUGGGGAGCAAACAG
RNAcentral lists this ribosomal RNA (251 nucleotides) under uncultured prokaryote. RNAcentral describes it as "partial 16S rRNA". It matches the Rfam family "Bacterial small subunit ribosomal RNA", at positions 525 to 775 of the family's 1533-position model. The record is from RNAcentral.